GGGGCAUGUGAGGGCUGUCGCUGACUCAAAGUCGUGCACGCCCGAGUGUGUCCUCUCGCAUAAUAAUCCAUCUCACCCUUUGUGCAUCGCCGCGUGGGCACCCUUUGGGAUCAUCUCGGAGGGGGCUCGCGUUUUCACACAAACCCCCCUUUUAAAAGUGUAGAAUGACCUCAUUUAUGCGCUAACACGCAAUCAAUACAACUUUCAACAACGGAUCUCUUGGCUCUCGCAUCGAUGAAGAACGCAGCGAAAUGCGAUACGUAAUGUGAAUUGCAGAAUUCAGUGAAUCAUCGAAUCUUUGAACGCACCUUGCGCCCCUUGGUAUUCCGAGGGGCACACCCGUUUGAGUGUCGUGAAAACCUCAACCUCCUUGGUUUCUUCUGGAGACCAAAGGCAGGCUUGGACUUUGGAGGCCUUUGCUGGAACCUCUCUCUUUUGAAGGCCAGCUCCUCUUAAACGAAUUAGCAGGGUCCUCUUUGCCGAUCCUCGACGUGUGAUAAGAUGUUUCCAUGUCUUGGUUUCUGGCUCUGUCACCUUUGGGACCCGCUUCUAACCGUCUUGACCUUGCGUCGAGACAACGUUCGAGCAUGUCUCCCUUCUCGGGAAGCUCCCUCGACCCCACGAACCCUUGACCUCAAAUCGGGUGAGACUACCCGCUGAACUUAAGCAUAUCAAUAAGCCGGAGGAA
Molecule: ribosomal RNA, 688 nt
Filed under: uncultured fungus
Lineage: Eukaryota; Fungi
Description: eukaryotic LSU rRNA
Rfam family: 5.8S ribosomal RNA (bases 200-353)
Source: RNAcentral